CAACUGAGCCGAUCACAACUAGAAGAAGCGGCCGGCGGCCGACUGCUUCUUCCGGAUCAAACCAAGAGCCUUGGCAGACAGGGGUGCUGCACUAGUUGUGAUUGGCUCAGUUAUUUCAUCCAGUCCGAUUAGAUGAAAAACUUUAAUGGAGAUCUAUUAGUAGCUAUCUGAUGUUUUGUAAUAAUAUCUAUUAAAAAAGAAAAAGUCCUCAUUUCACCUUAUUUUCAACGGAAAUACGGAGACAGUGAGUUGAAGGUUUUCUGUGCGAGAGUUCCGGCGGGUCACUUCCUGUCUAUGGCGAGCUUGCUGAAAAGAGACUCAUGCAGCUACGUCGUCUCAAAUUACUCGUAAAUAUGACUUCGAAGAAGACUGGUGUAAAAGAAAGGUUUACGUGGAGUGUUUUGAUCAUCAACCGUGAACGAGAGCUGCAGAUGUGAGGCGCCCUACUUCCUUCAGCCGAAGAACGAGAAAUCCCUCCGCCUGUGGUUAAAAGCUUUAAGUCUGAAGAAACCACCGAAGCGACCGUAUUCUUUUCAUUUUGUAGACAAAAGACCGACAGAAGACCAACUAUGCCAGAAAAGUGGCUGGGCUACGAAGUUGCAUUAAAAGCUCCAAGGUGAUAAAGAGGAGAGCAGACAGAUGACAGCCGCUGUGAUGCAGAGGCUGACCGGACCGUUCCAUAAUCAGUCACCUAUGAAUAAAAAUGCUGUUACUACAGGCACUGAUGAUCACAUCUACGAGAAAAGAAGUAGAAGGAUGUAUGUGGCUGGCUUCCUGGAGUAUCUUGGUCCUGGCGAUGAAGUAACGGCAGACAGAGGCUUUACCAUCAGAGAUCUGCUGUUUGAGAGGAGAUUUAACCUUGUUCUACCAGCAUUCACCCAUAAAAGGAGGACGGUUGUCUGAUGAGGAUGUAACUGCCACAAGGAUUGCAGAUGUUCACAUACAUGUGUAAAGAGUUAUCAGGAGGCUCAAAGUUUUCACAAUAAUCACCCAGACUGUAACCAUCAGCUUCAAUAUAAAAUGGACAAAAUCUUCCGAAUCUGUGCAGCUCCUGUGAACACGCAGGGGGAAUCAUCCACAAGGAUGUUGAUUGAGCGGAGAAGUUUACAUGUCAAAAAGAUCCUGAUUAGUUAUAUUCUACUGUAAAUCAGUGGAAUUAAAAUACACUAUAAUGUGUUUUGGAUCUGUGCUUUUAAAUAUUUCUUUGUUUAGCACCUUCAGGUUUUACAUUUUGGAAUAAUUUUUUUCAUUUUUAAUAACUUAAGUAUUGUAUAUCCUUAUUUUCAGACUAUUCAGAUGUUUACAUAUACAAAAAUUGUGUCCAACUAAAAUGUGUACAAUUAAAUUUCACUAUCAA
This is a long non-coding RNA of Fundulus heteroclitus (mummichog), 1357 nucleotides long. RefSeq lists it as uncharacterized. The record is from RefSeq and is a predicted model, not a curated record. The transcript is spliced from 2 exons. Lineage: Eukaryota; Metazoa; Chordata; Actinopteri; Cyprinodontiformes; Fundulidae.